UGAAAGGAUUUCCCAUCUCA
Molecule: unclassified non-coding RNA, 20 nt
Filed under: Mus musculus (house mouse)
Lineage: Eukaryota; Metazoa; Chordata; Mammalia; Rodentia; Muridae
Description: oocyte_clustered_small_RNA4137
Source: RNAcentral